Molecule: long non-coding RNA, 313 nt
Filed under: Ananas comosus (pineapple)
Lineage: Eukaryota; Viridiplantae; Streptophyta; Magnoliopsida; Poales; Bromeliaceae
Description: long non-coding RNA (ACOM_LNC016982)
Source: RNAcentral
AUAAAAAGCACACCGAGAUUUACGUGGAAAAACUCCAACUUAGAGAAAAACCCACGGGACCAACACGCGAAAAAAUAAUUCACUAAGAGAAAAGAUUACAAGGUGAUUACCGACUCCACGGACUCAACCUCUCUUAACCUCCUAUGAAUCUCGCGCAAUCCUCCGGGUUGUCCACGCCCUCACGUUCGAAUCCACGAACGCCUCCACUUCGAAUCCACGAAGCUUCAAUCACGCCGAAUCCACGACGCCACUCGAAUCCACGAGCCCACGAUCCGAAUCCACGAACCACCUUCGUUCAUGCCGAAUCCACGAU